This 828-nucleotide unclassified non-coding RNA is filed under the name Zea mays. RNAcentral's name for it is "misc RNA Zm00001eb225680". Lineage: Eukaryota; Viridiplantae; Streptophyta; Magnoliopsida; Poales; Poaceae. The record is from RNAcentral.
GUUUGUUUGGUUCAGCUUUUUUCUGACAAUUUUUUUUUUAAGAAUCUAGCUGUGAGAAUAAUCUGAGUAUCAUUACGAUUACGUGUGGAAGAAAAUAAAGUUGUUCAUAGGACUCAGGAUCUAGAAAGUGACGGAUUUCUACUAUUACAACGACUCAGCCGAUUAUUUGUUUAUGUUAAUUUUGGAUGGUUUUUGCCUCAACAAAUUUUAUAGAAGUUGGCUGAAGAGCUGAGCGUUUGGCAGUCCGCAACAAUUUUUAUGGCCAUAAGCUGUCAGAAGCAGAAACAAACAUGCCCUUAUUCUCUCUCCGCAAUUGUGAAUAUAGACGUUCUAGCCCCUCUGCAGAUCAAAUACUACAAUCAAAGGGGAAAAAAAAUGCAUUCUUCCCUUCUCCGCAGAACUGCUGGCUGCGCCUCCUGCAGAUCAAAGAGUACAAUCUCAGUUUCUUCCCUUCUCUGCAGAACUGCUGGUUGCGUCUUGCCUUGUUCUGUUCGCAGUCGCUGGGGUCUCCUGGGGAAGUGGCCAGUGAAAGGGGGAGGCGCCGCACCACGGCAGGGACGGUCGCCGGGGUUGCCGGCCAAUGCCCUAAGGCCGGACGCCGGAGCCAGCGGCCCUGGGCCUAGGCGGCGAGCAGGAGGGACCGAGGGAGCUGGGAAUGGGGGAGGCUGGAGGGGCAGAGCCGUGGAGGGAGCUUGGCGAGGAGGCGGCGCGCCGGACCACCGGAGGGAGCUGCGGCUGCUGGAGGUCGGAGCCGGACGGGAGGAUCGACCGGGGGCAUCGGGCGGCAGGCCGGCAGCCGAUUUGGCGGAGUUGAGGGUGCCAGAAAAA